CCGUUUCUUACUCUUUUCCCCGAUUCCUCUCGUUCUCUCUCGCGGUCAAAUCAAAGACGACGGAUCUUCGGUGAUCGUCGACAUCGCCGGAGGAGCUCGUCGCUGGAGCUUGCCAGAGGUCAAACAAGGAGGUCGGAUCAUUCUGAUCUCCUCUUCUCAAGCCUUCCCCGAGCCUUCCUUCCACAUUUGCCAACUCUUCCGCCCCGACGCCGAUUGUGCACCUCCUCUACCGUGAUUGCGGCUUCGUCGAGUCGCCUGAAGAAGGGUGGUGGAGCUCGAAGGGUAUCGACCAUCUCCGGCUGAGUAGGAGUCUCGGUGGUUGUUUCUUGCGGGCAAGUGACGGUGAUCUAGCGGUUAGGGCACGACGGGGCUAGGGCUGAUCAAGCCCUUUCUCUUCUCCUCUUCGAUCUUCUCGCUGGAGGGUGGGCCAGAUCGUCGCUAGCUAAGGUGGAUCGUGCGACACCAGCUGUAGGUGAUCGAUGGAGAGGAAAGCUUCGGAUCAACCUAGUGAUGGAUCUCCCCUGAGCAGACCUUCGUCUUCUUCAAUUCUUGCGGCUGUUAAAGUCUCGGUGUAGAGGCGGAGGCCUGUUUGAGGGCUUCUUUGGUAGCGAUCGACAGAGGUCUUGUGGGACUGUGAAUGUUGAUCUCUUUGGCAUAUCCUGCUGCUGGGGUCCAAAUUGGAGAAGGGUCGGCUAACUAGGGUUUUGCCAACAACGGAAGGAAGCUAUUGCAGAAGCCGUGGUAUCUAAUCCCUGUCCAAAUGAUAUGGGACUUUGAUAUGGGAUGAUUAUCAAGACGUGGGAUUUAUUUUAGCACGAUCGACAGAUAAA
Long non-coding RNA from Zingiber officinale, 830 nucleotides. RefSeq lists it as uncharacterized. The transcript is spliced from 4 exons. The record is from RefSeq and is a predicted model, not a curated record. NCBI's taxonomy places the organism in Eukaryota, Viridiplantae, Streptophyta, Magnoliopsida, Zingiberales, Zingiberaceae.